This 75-nucleotide transfer RNA is filed under the name Deltaproteobacteria bacterium. Its description in RNAcentral is "tRNA-Val". It matches the Rfam family "tRNA". Rfam says of the family: Transfer RNA (tRNA) molecules are approximately 80 nucleotides in length. Their secondary structure includes four short double-helical elements and three loops (D, anti-codon, and T loops). Further hydrogen bonds mediate the characteristic L-shaped molecular structure. tRNAs have two regions of fundamental functional importance: the anti-codon, which is responsible for specific mRNA codon recognition, and the 3' end, to which the tRNAs corresponding amino acid is attached (by aminoacyl-tRNA synthetases). tRNAs cope with the degeneracy of the genetic code in two manners: having more than one tRNA (with a specific anti-codon) for a particular amino acid; and 'wobble' base-pairing, i.e. permitting non-standard base-pairing at the 3rd anti-codon position. Lineage: Bacteria; Pseudomonadati; Myxococcota; Myxococcia. RNAcentral also lists the same sequence under 1 other name. The record is from RNAcentral.
GGGCGGUUAACUCAGCGGUAGAGUGCCAUCCUCACACGGUGGAAGUCGCAGGUUCAAACCCUGCACCGCCCACCA